Molecule: ribosomal RNA, 119 nt
Organism: Elaeis guineensis (African oil palm)
Lineage: Eukaryota; Viridiplantae; Streptophyta; Magnoliopsida; Arecales; Arecaceae
Source: RefSeq, a predicted model, not a curated record
GGUUGUGAUCAUGCCAGCACUAAUGCACCUGAUCCCAUCAGAGCUCCGUAGUUAAGCGUGCUUGGGUGAGAGUUGUACUAUGAUGGGUGACUCCCAGGGAAGUCCUCGUGUUGCAUCCC